CCGCCGUGGAAGGGCCCACACGGAGGGCUGAAGGGCAGGCGGACG
RNAcentral lists this ribosomal RNA (45 nucleotides) under Cryptomonas paramaecium. RNAcentral's name for it is "Cryptomonas paramecium partial Eukaryotic large subunit ribosomal RNA". Lineage: Eukaryota; Cryptophyceae; Cryptomonadales; Cryptomonadaceae. The record is from RNAcentral.